RNAcentral lists this ribosomal RNA (245 nucleotides) under uncultured bacterium. Its description in RNAcentral is "partial 16S ribosomal RNA". It matches the Rfam family "Bacterial small subunit ribosomal RNA", at positions 87 to 334 of the family's 1533-position model. The record is from RNAcentral.
UAUGGCGACCGGCGCACGGUGAGUAACACGUAUCCAACCUGCCGAUGACUCGGGGAUAGCCUUUCGAAAGAAAGAUUAAUACCCGAUGGCAUAGUUCUUCCGCAUGGUAGAACUAUUAAAGAAUUUCGGUCAUCGAUGGGGAUGCGUUCCAUUAGGUUGUUGGCGGGGUAACGGCCCACCAAGCCCUCGAUGGAUAGGGGUUCUGAGAGGAAGGUCCCCCACAUUGGAACUGAGACACGGUCCAA